This 104-nucleotide small RNA is filed under the name Klebsiella pneumoniae. RNAcentral describes it as "partial RtT sRNA". It matches the Rfam family "RtT RNA", at positions 29 to 130 of the family's 130-position model. From Rfam's summary of the family: This family represents a bacterial cis-regulatory element known as RtT RNA. The exact function of RtT is unknown although it is thought that it may be involved in changing the cellular response in relation to amino acid starvation. The record is from RNAcentral. Lineage: Bacteria; Pseudomonadati; Pseudomonadota; Gammaproteobacteria; Enterobacterales; Enterobacteriaceae. RNAcentral also lists the same sequence under 1 other name.
GCUUCGACUAAGGUUCGACUCGAGCGAAGCGAGAGAACGUUGCCGCAGGCAACGGCCCGAAGGGCGAAGCGCUUUAGCGCCGAGUAAUCCUUCCCCCACCACUG